AUUGAACGCUGGCGGCAGGCUUAACACAUGCAAGUCGAGCGAGCGGCGGACGGGUGAGUCAUGUGUGGGAAACUGCCUGAUGGAGGGGGAUAACUACUGGAAACGGUCGCUAAUAACGCAUACCAUCAGAUGUGCCAAUAGGGGAUGGGCUGGUAGGUGGGGUAAUGGCUCACCUCGGCGACGAUCCCUAGCUGUUUGGCGAGGAUGACCAUCCACACGGGAACUGGGACACGGUCCAGACUCCUACGGGAGGCAGCAGUGGGUAAUAUUGCACAAUGGGCGCAAGCCUGAUGCAGCCAUGCCGCGUGUGUGAAGAAGGCCUUCGGGUUGUAAAGCACUUUCAGCGAGGAGGCGUUACUCGCAGAAGAAGCACCGGCUAACUCCGUGCCAGCAGCCGCGGUAAUAC
Molecule: ribosomal RNA, 406 nt
Filed under: uncultured bacterium
Lineage: Bacteria
Description: partial 16S ribosomal RNA
Rfam family: Bacterial small subunit ribosomal RNA
Source: RNAcentral